This 384-nucleotide long non-coding RNA is filed under the name Brassica napus (rape). Its description in RNAcentral is "long non-coding RNA (BNAP_LNC000003)". The record is from RNAcentral. Lineage: Eukaryota; Viridiplantae; Streptophyta; Magnoliopsida; Brassicales; Brassicaceae.
CCUGCUUUGACCGGGAACCAAAGAGCCAAUACACCAACAACCAAGGAACGGGAGUGGGUGGUCCCUAGGAACGCCCUUCUUUGAGUAAGUCCUUGGUCUAAGUGCUGCCCUAUCUAGUUAUCCCGGUAUCGGUCUUUCAAUAGUCUCUGGCGUUCAGACGCUAGUUAUUGAGCUCCCCUGGUCUGAGAAGGUAGCUCUCCUAGUAGCAGUUGUCAUUGCUACUCUACUAUGGACCAACCUAUCACCUAUCCUUGUACAUAACUGCAUUUGUAAUAGAAUAGGUUCUUCUUUCUCUGUGCUAUAUCCCAAAGGCUUUCAUUCGUAGCAUCAAUCAAGUCAGUUUAUGAAGGGAAAUCCGUUGAACAAAUCACUCCGUGCCUCCCC